Long non-coding RNA from Neodiprion fabricii, 1242 nucleotides. RefSeq lists it as uncharacterized. NCBI's taxonomy places the organism in Eukaryota, Metazoa, Arthropoda, Insecta, Hymenoptera, Diprionidae. The transcript is spliced from 2 exons. The record is from RefSeq and is a predicted model, not a curated record.
AGCGAAUUGUGCUGUAAAUAGAUAAUAACUCAAUUAGUAUCAAGCUUCAAGUAAUCUCUUUAUGUGAUUAGAUACCUCGGCAGUAGAAUGCGCUUUGGUCUUACGAUUCAGAGCUGCUGGCAUUAGAGAAUUCAAGAUCUGAUGAAAAGUACAUAGUAUCAACCUUGAAGGCGAUUGCAGCAUUGUUAACGAGUACAUCGAGUCCUCCAUGAAUGUCGCUGAUAUACUGUUUGAACGUGUCGACACUUGAGUCGUCAGUGACGUCAAGUUGAUGGAAUCUUGGUUGAAGACCAAGUUUUUUGAGCUCUUCAACUGCAGCUUGACCUUUAGCCUCGUUCCUUGCAGUCAGAUAAACUAUCCCAUCAAAUUGCUCGCACAGACCUUUUACAAUUGCAAAACCAAUCCCUUUGUUCCCGCCAGUUACCUGAAUAUGCAUAAAUAAGACAAGAUCCAGGAUAUACGUAUGAUUAAUAUAAGGAGUCAGGACUCCAAAUUAAUAACUUACCACAGCUACGCGCGACAUCAUGUCACUAUUAGCUAAUAAUCGCAAAUUUUUACUUGUUACAAGAUGAGAACUGAUGUGUAGAAGCUAUCUGAAACCACUGACAAGAUUCUCUGAGAUUACACAUAGCGAAUUUACGAAGUGAUUCAUAAAAUUGUCAGACUAAAUCCACUAUCAGUAUUUAGAGAUAAUUGAGGAACUGGGCGACUAUUUCUGUGCUGUUUAUUCCCUACUUUCACCAUUUGAGUUAAAAACAAUACAACUGUAAUACAUUUCGCAAAGAAACAGAAAAUUACACCCUAUUGAUUAAAUAUGCAGUGUACUUGACGUUCCCGUAUAAAGUUUGAUGAGUAUUCGAAAGUUUGUGGUAUAUAAACAUAAGAAAAAAUUAGUAACAAUAUUAAAAUGGAAAAUAAAGAAACCUUUAUCCAUAUGAAGUGUAACAAUGAAAAAUCAACGUGUAAUUAGAUAUAGGGUCAUUUAUUCGUAACUGAACGCAAGACUCGAGUGAGAGACAGAGAAGCUUAUGCGAAUGCCAGGUGGAACAACUGUGUCAGUCGCACUCGAAUUCAGUAAUGAUUGAAUGACCCUGUAGAUCUGUUUAUUACUAUCAGAUUUAAGGCACUGAUCAACAAAUGAUAUGAAUUUGCCUGCCAGACGGUUGCUACCGAGAACUAUGGAAUGUGCAGACGGAUAUUCUGAUCGGACAUUCUCAUCUUUACAAGCCAAGUCCACAAGAA